GAUCUUGGUUCAGGAUGAACGCUGGCGGCGUGCUUAACACAUGCAAGUCGAACGGAGUUUUAACGGAAGUUUCGGAUGGAAGUUUAGAAACUUAGUGGCGGACGGGUGAGUAACGCGUGGGUAACCUGCCUCAUACAGGGGGAUAACAGUUAGAAAUGACUGCUAACACCGCAUAAUAUAGCGAAACCGCAUGAUUUUGCUAUCAAAUAUUUAUAGGUAUGAGAUGGGCCCGCGUCUGAUUAGCUAGUUGGUGGGGUAAAAGCCUACCAAGGCGACGAUCAGUAGCCGGCUUGAGAGAGUGACCGGCCACAUUGGGACUGAGACACGGCCCAAACUCCUACGGGAGGCAGCAGUGGGGAAUAUUGGACAAUGGGGGAAACCCUGAUCCAGCGAACCGCCGCGUGAGUGAAGAAGUAUUUCGGUAUGUAAAGCUCUAUCAGCAGGGAAGAUAAUGACAGUACCUGACUAAGAAGCCCCGGCUAACUACGUGCCAGCAGCCGC
RNAcentral lists this ribosomal RNA (501 nucleotides) under uncultured bacterium. RNAcentral describes it as "bacterial SSU rRNA". It matches the Rfam family "Bacterial small subunit ribosomal RNA", at positions 15 to 518 of the family's 1533-position model. The record is from RNAcentral.